UAAAAAACCUGAAUCUCAGUCUAGCCUCUGUGAAAGCUCUUAUACUGAUACCAGCAGCACUGCAAUGGACAAUCGAUGCCUCUCUUUUGAUCAAGAGUCAUUCCAGUCCUUUGCUGGUGCUGAUGACUCACAAAGUCUGCAAACAAACAGUGAAAUGGAGCUGAGUUCAGAGGAGAAUGUACUGACAGACUUUGCCUGUGAUAUUCUUCCACCACCAAAAUGUCUGCAUAAUGAUCUUUUUUCACACAUGCUUUUCCUAUAUGAUGUAUUAUAUUAAUAUUUUUUGUUAAUGAUUUCUAAUUAUUGAUGAUAAUUGGUUGCAGCCACUGAAGAAGCUGUCUAUGAAACCCCCCCCUUCCAAAUGGCCAGCCAAUGAGGGUGAGUAUGUGGUUACUGAUAGCAUCUAUGAUGUCCCAAACUCCAUAAUUAGGAAAAUGACUGAUCAUACAAUUGAAUUUCACAGCAGUAGUGGGAGGCCUGAGAGUGGUGGUCUUUUGAGUGACAUGAUAGCCUGUUUGGGCAGUGAAUCUGCUGCCUGGGUCAAAACUGCGCCACUGUGAACCAUUUGUGAAUCUCAGUGACAUGAGUCACUUUGAGCAAGAUGGAGAUAAGUUUUUUUUAUGUUGCUUUCUGUUUGCAUCCACACUGUCAUCACUUAUGUAGAACAAUGGACACAUUGUGCAGUGUUUAAGAAAUAAAUAAAAAAAAAGGCUGUUCUGUAUCUUCUAAGCUAAAUAGGGAAAUGCCAAUGUCAUUUUUCCUCCUUUGUCCUAUAUUCUCAUUGUAAAUACAUUUUUUGCAAAUCAAAUUAAUGUUUCAAAAUGAUAACAAAUUACAAAAUUAUACACCGAUUAUUCACGGUCUGUAAGCAGAAGAAUAAUUCAGAGUAUUGUUCCGGAUUGUUCUGCCCCAAUUUAACCACUGCCUGUAAUGUAUGUUAUUAAGUGAUUGUGAUUUAUUGAAGCUUACUAAAUAAAUACAUUUUAAAUUACAGAGCUCAUCAAAUGAAUCAAAUACCAAAAAAAUAGUUUAAAAAAGAAAGCAAAACAACAAGCUGUCUUUUUACUAGCUUAAAUAGUUAUUAAUGUUACUUUUGUAAUCAGAAACAAGCUACAGUAAUGCCUCUGCACAUACAGAUUGGCAUUAAAGGAAUAUUCCGGGUUCAGUACAAGUUAAGCUCAAUCGACAGCAUUUGUCACAUAAUGUUGAUUACCACAAUAAAUAAAUAAAUAAAAAGAGCAAAAAUCAAGGUUACAGUGAGGCACUUACAAUGAAAGUGAAUGUGGCCAAUUUUUGAAUGUUAAAAUGCUGACUUUUUCAGAAAUAUAGCCACAAGACAAACAAUAUGUGUGUAAACAUGAUUUUAGUGUGUUAAAAAUCACUUACUAACCUUUUCUGUGUUAUUGCCAAUUUUACAACUUUGUUCCCAUGGCAAUGUAAUGUCAACAAACCCUAAAAUGACUAAAAAUUACCAUUUAAACAACUUUACAGCUCAAAUAAUACAUGAGAGAACAGAAAAAUUUAUUAAAUUAAUAAAAAAAAUUUUAAGAAAAGCAGGCAUGAGUAGAAAUUAAAUUUUUGGUAAUCAACUAUGAUAUGAACAAAUGCUGUUGAUAAUCUUAACUUGUAUUAAACCCGGAACAUUCCUUGAAGACCCCUCUACGUCAGCAGCCUUGUCACACCAAUGCUCAUUUUAUAAAUUUCUGCACAUUUCAAAAUUUGCAGAACAUUCCAUCAGUUUUUGUGUAAAAGGAACAGAAAUAGCCUUGUUUUUAUCACUGUCUUGUUGGGUUAAGCAUGAUUUAGCAUAAUGUGUCAGUGUUG
Myxocyprinus asiaticus (Chinese sucker) is the source of this 1824-nucleotide long non-coding RNA. RefSeq lists it as uncharacterized. Lineage: Eukaryota; Metazoa; Chordata; Actinopteri; Cypriniformes; Catostomidae. The record is from RefSeq and is a predicted model, not a curated record. The transcript is spliced from 4 exons.